UGGGAGCUGAGCCCCAGGGCAGAUGCGAGGUGUAGGAGGCUGGGGAACCGGGAGCGCCUGCGGGGUGCAAAUAGGCGAAGGCACCGGUGUCAGGGGGAACGCGUCCGUUACCGCCCGCCUCCCGCAGGUCUACGUCAAACUAGAUCCUGGCUUCUGGGUUCCUGACCUCGUUUGGCCUCAGAACCAUCCAUGCAACAUUGGGGCUAUCACUUCGCCUCCCUCGGUUGAAGAGUUCCCACUUGAACCCCUAUCUCCUCGUCUUUUACUUCCCAAGCCACCUCGCUUCUGUGAAAGGUCUGCAGGCUUGUCUACCUCCUCUCAGCUUGCUCUGCAUGCCUUGGGGAAGCUGCAUAAAGCAUGGAUCAUGAAGGAGGGGAGCGGAGAAGAGGGAAAUGCAUGUUUCCACAAAUGGACCAUGAGCCCACCAGGCAGACUCCAGAUGGGGAAAAAAAAACCCUCACAUUAUCAUGUGACUUACACAAGAAAAAAGGUACCCGCAAAGGGCCAAGGGACCAGAGAGGAGAACUUGAGAGGUAUCCUGGAGGAGGCGACUUUUGAUGUGAGCUUUCUAGGACUUCCUGAUCCAUUUGCUAAGGUGGUGGUUGAUGGAUCUGGGCAAUGCCAUUCUACAGAUACUGUGAAGAAUACACUCGAUCCAAAGUGGAAUCAGCAUUAUGACCUAAGGCGUAAAGAAAAGCCCAGUGGGAAUGUGCUUCGGCUUAUAGACAGGUUCUGAAAGAUGAAGUAUCCCUUAAAUUCUAUGAAGAACAAAAUGAAACUGGCUCACAGUAGAGCAGUCCCCCACCUCUUUUUUCAAUUAAAUAAAGAAUUUACCAACCUUUUCAAAUCAUGGUGCACAUAAAAAAUAUGGCACAUUGGACUACACAGAUGAAGUUGCUUAAGCCAGUGGUGCGUUGCCCUGAGGACUAAGGUAAUCAAUAUAUGUAUUUCAGCAUACCUGUAAACCAGGCUUACUAAUUGGACAACUGGUUUAAUGUGACUUUUGAAAAAAAUGUUUGGUUUGGGUAAUUCAGCUACUUAAUACUGGAUUCUGGCUCUGGAAUUACAUGCCGGUAGAUACAUGCCAAGACAGAUCUGGUAGGUGUAUUUGAAAAUUGGUACAUGUAUACUGAACAAUAUUUUAGUUCAGAUCUUUUCAUUUGCAAGCAACAGAGACCAAGUUCAAAUCGGCUUUAUUUUUUUAAAAGGGAAUGUACCAAUUUGCAUAAUGAAAAGCCCAGGGGUGGGCAUUUUUUAGGCACAGCUGGAUCCCGGGGCUCAAGUGUACCUUCCAUGUUCCUUAUUUGAAAUCUUUAGUCCUUACUUAAGUGGUUUAGGCUUUUCUCUAUAGUGGGUGAAUUUUUCUGAUAUUGCUAAUUUAUUGAGUUAGCAAUACUUUAGACUAAAACUUUGACCUCUUAAUGUCAUUGAAAUAGCGCUAGGAUUCUACUGACAUAAUUA
Molecule: RNA transcript, 1461 nt
Organism: Cercocebus atys (sooty mangabey)
Lineage: Eukaryota; Metazoa; Chordata; Mammalia; Primates; Cercopithecidae
Exons: 5
Source: RefSeq, a predicted model, not a curated record